RNAcentral lists this ribosomal RNA (451 nucleotides) under uncultured bacterium. Its description in RNAcentral is "partial 16S ribosomal RNA". It matches the Rfam family "Bacterial small subunit ribosomal RNA", at positions 29 to 523 of the family's 1533-position model. The record is from RNAcentral.
AGCGAACGCUGGCGGCAGGCCUAACACAUGCAAGUCGAGCGCCCGUAGCAAUACGGGAGCGGCAGACGGGUGAGUAACACGUGGGAACGUGCCCUUUGGUUCGGAAUAACUCAGGGUAACUUGAGCUAAUACCGGAUAAGCCCUUACGGGGAAAGAUUUAUUGCCGAAGGAGCGGCCCGCGUCCGAAUAGCUAGUUGGUGAGGUAACGGCUCACCAAGGCUACGAUCGGUAGCUGGUCUGAGAGGAUGACCAGCCACACUGGGACUGAGACACGGCCCAGACUCCUACGGGAGGCAGCAGUGGGGAAUAUUGGACAAUGGGGGCAACCCUGAUCCAGCCAUGCCGCGUGGGUGAUGAAGGCCCUAGGGUUGUAAAGCCCUUUCGGCGGGGAAGAUAAUGACGGUACCCGCAGAAGAAGCCCCGGCUAACUUCGUGCCAGCAGCCGCCGUAA